RNAcentral lists this ribosomal RNA (433 nucleotides) under uncultured bacterium. RNAcentral's name for it is "partial 16S ribosomal RNA". It matches the Rfam family "Bacterial small subunit ribosomal RNA", at positions 29 to 507 of the family's 1533-position model. The record is from RNAcentral.
AACGAACGCUGGCGGCAUGCCUAACACAUGCAAGUCGAACGAGACCUUCGGGUCUAGUGGCGCACGGGUGCGUAACGCGUGGGAACCUGCCCUUAGGUUCGGAAUAACUCCCCGAAAGGGGUGCUAAUACCGGAUAAUGUCUUCGGACCAAAGAUUUAUCGCCUUUGGAUGGGCCCGCGUUGGAUUAGCUAGUUGGUAGGGUAAAAGCCUACCAAGGCGACGAUCCAUAGCUGGUCUGAGAGGAUGAUCAGCCACACUGGGACUGAGACACGGCCCAGACUCCUACGGGAGGCAGCAGUGGGGAAUAAUGGACAAUGAGCGAAAGCCUGAUCCAGCAAUGCCGCGUGAGUGAUGAAGGCCUUAGGGUUGUAAAGCUCUUUUACCCGGGAUGAUAAUGACAGUACCGGGAGAAUAAGCUCCGGCUAACUCCGUG